Molecule: RNA transcript, 1496 nt
Organism: Micropterus dolomieu (smallmouth bass)
Lineage: Eukaryota; Metazoa; Chordata; Actinopteri; Centrarchiformes; Centrarchidae
Gene name: peroxynitrite isomerase THAP4-like
Exons: 3
Source: RefSeq, a predicted model, not a curated record
CGCAGCGUCCAGCCUGCCGCUAAUCCGUUAGUAGAAGAAGAAGAGCGGAAGCUGCUAACUGUUAGCACCUCUGCUAACGUGCUGCGUUCAGGGUCCGUUUCAGACACUCUGCGCUGUCCGCACGUGAAACUACUCGGAGUUUAUCUGCCGCUUCUUUCCCGCGUUUCAUAUUCUGUCGUCUGGGCGCAGCAGCGAUGCCGUGGCGGUGCUGCGUCCCCGGCUGUAAAGGCUACGAGGAGGCCAAGUCCAGGGGGGUCGUGUUUCACGGGCUACCGACGCGGGACCCGCAGCGCUGCAGGACCUGGCUGAAGGCGAUCCAGAACCCGAGGUUCGACGAGGACACGCCCGUCUCCAAGUACAGCGGGGUCCGGGUGUGCAGCCUGCACUUUAAACCCGAGGACUACGAGGAGGACUUCCGAGCCAAGAUCCUGAACGUCACGCCCAAACCGACGCUGAAGAGCGGCGCCGUGCCGUCCGUGUUCCCCGGGAGGCAGCGCGGCCAGCCGGGCAGCAGCGACGCGUCCCCGCCGCCGCCGCCCAAGAGGAGCAGAGCGCAGACGGCCUGCGGAGCUGCAGGGAGUUCCUCGCAAUCCGCCCCGGCGGCGGCGGCAGACGAAAGCUUCUGCAUCGUGGUGUCGGUCGACCCGCAGGAGGACCGCUUCCACUCAGAGCCGGAGUUCAGCUCGGUGGCGGCGUCUGACGAGUCUGACGAGGACGAGGACUGCGCCGUCGUUUACAGCCGCAGCCUGAUGGAGCUCUUCAGGAUGUGUCAGACGUGCGGGCGGCCAAUCGUGGAGAAGGAGCUUUUCCACUCGGGCGCACAGAUGAGGGUGAAGUGGCGCUGUGACGGAGGACACUCUGGGCUGUGGAAGUCCUCGCCUCACCUGAGAGACGUGCUUCCAUGAAGUCCAUUUGCAGAGUUUGAGAACAUUUGGUGAGGUUCAGAUUCAGCAGGACUCUGUGCUGCCUCGUCACGUCGGACUCCAGGACCCGGUCCAGACUGGUGCAGCUCUGUGCUUUUCUUUAGACACGAGCCAAUCCGCUUCACUAGAGGACUACCUGAGCUGGCGGGCCAUGGACUAAAACCCGACGUGGCUACCCCAACAUACAGCGCAGCGGGAAGAAGGACUUUCCGGACGACAGUUUAACAUCCGGCGCACAGCAGAAGGCGAGCCGGAGGAGAGACGUGCGGAAGAUCCACGCGGGUGAAUGAACCCCAUCUAUGGAUCCCAGUCCAACAGGAAGUGGCGUUGAUCAACAGCGAUGGCGCGCCCUCAUCCAGCAGAGCCACGGCGGCGGCCUGCAGCAGCUUCAUGAAGAAGCCCAGCGACAAACAGACUGGUUGUGAACGAUGCGUCCAGAUUAUCAGCGUGUCUGAAGAAUACUUUUUAAACACACGAGGGGUUCAGUGUUUUGCUCAGGGACACAGUGGGAAUUGAACCCGGGUCUCUUGCAUGCGUCUUAUCCACUGCGUCCCCAAUAAAGCCUCGAUGUGA